UACGUAGGUGGCAAGCGUUGUCCGGAUUUACUGGGCGUAAAGAGCGCGCAGGCGGUCGUUUAAGUCGAAUGUGAAAGCCCCCGGCUCAACUGGGGAGGGUCAUUUGAUACUGAUCGACUUGAAGGCAGGAGAGGGAAGUGGAAUUCCGGGUGUAGUGGUGAAAUGCGUAGAUAUCCGGAGGAACACCAGUGGCGAAGGCGACUUCCUGGCCUGUUCUUGACGCUGAGGCGCGAAAGCUGGGGGAGCAAACGGG
This 253-nucleotide ribosomal RNA is filed under the name uncultured bacterium. Its description in RNAcentral is "partial 16S ribosomal RNA". It matches the Rfam family "Bacterial small subunit ribosomal RNA", at positions 524 to 776 of the family's 1533-position model. The record is from RNAcentral.